Molecule: long non-coding RNA, 412 nt
Organism: Dermacentor albipictus
Lineage: Eukaryota; Metazoa; Arthropoda; Arachnida; Ixodida; Ixodidae
Source: RefSeq, a predicted model, not a curated record
GCCAAAGUUGUACGUCUUUCCCUAACAGCAAGAGAGUUUUUGUUCAGCGUCGCUGCAAUGAAGCCCGGAACUCUGCUCGGAAUCGCUGCCUUCGGCUUUGUCUGCGUGACGGUCAACCUCAUGUUCGACUGCGCCAACGCGGAAAAAGUGGUGACCACCACGUGCUUCGUGGACAGAGGGAAGGAGGACUGCAGUCGUUACAAAUCAGACGGAAAGACGUGUGACGACCUGGGGUGCGAGAAGAAAAAUCAAAUCUGCUGCCUGAAAGACUGCAACAUGACCCAUUUCUGCCUGAUGGACAAAGACAUAACUCCAAAUCCAUGAGAACAUAAAAGCGACAAUCGGCUGUCGCCGAUGGUACCAUGUAUAAUCGGAAAUAAAUAAUCACUUUUCGUUUGGCGUUUCAGCGGAA